AGUGAACGCUGGCGGUAGGCCUAACACAUGCGAGUCGAACGGCAGCACAGUAAGAGCUUGCUCUUACGGGUGGCGAGUGGCGGACGGGUGAGGAAUACAUCGGAAUCUACUUUUUCGUGGGGGAUAACGUAGGGAAACUUACGCUAAUACCGCAUACGACCUACGGGUGAAAGCAGGGGAUCUUCGGACCUUGCGCGAUUGAAUGAGCCGAUGUCGGAUUAGCUAGUUGGCGGGGUAAAGGCCCACCAAGGCGACGAUCCGUAGCUGGUCUGAGAGGAUGAUCGCCCACAUGGGAAGUGAGCCAGGGCCAGGCCCCCUGCGGGAGGAGCCAGGGGGGAAUGUUGGACAGGGGGCGCAAGCUGGACCCAGCCAUCCCGGGGGGGUGAAAAAGGCGUUGGGUUUGUAAGGCCGUUUUUUGGGGAAAAAAAAGCAGCAGUUUAAUACCCCCCUGUUCGGACGUAACCCAAAAAAAAAGCACCGGCUAACUUGGUG
This 492-nucleotide ribosomal RNA is filed under the name uncultured bacterium. RNAcentral describes it as "partial 16S ribosomal RNA". It matches the Rfam family "Bacterial small subunit ribosomal RNA", at positions 29 to 507 of the family's 1533-position model. The record is from RNAcentral.